UACGGAGGGAGCUAGCGUUGUUCGGAAUUACUGGGCGUAAAGCGCACGUAGGCGGCUUUGUAAGUUAGAGGUGAAAGCCUGGGGCUCAACUCCAGAAUUGCCUUUAAGACUGCAUCGCUUGAAUCAUGGAGAGGCGGGUGGAAUUCCUAGUGUAGAGGUGAAAUUCGUAGAUAUUCGGAAGAACACCAGUGGCGAAGGCGGCCCGCUGGACAUGUAUUGACGCUGAGGUGCGAAAGCGUGGGGAGCAAACAGG
This 253-nucleotide ribosomal RNA is filed under the name uncultured bacterium. RNAcentral's name for it is "partial 16S ribosomal RNA". It matches the Rfam family "Bacterial small subunit ribosomal RNA", at positions 524 to 776 of the family's 1533-position model. The record is from RNAcentral.